ACCUAGCUGGCUCAGUUGGUAGAGCAUGUGACUCUUGAUCUUGGGGUUGUGGGUUUGAGCACCAUGCUGGGUA
This 73-nucleotide transfer RNA is filed under the name Ailuropoda melanoleuca (giant panda). It matches the Rfam family "tRNA". Rfam says of the family: Transfer RNA (tRNA) molecules are approximately 80 nucleotides in length. Lineage: Eukaryota; Metazoa; Chordata; Mammalia; Carnivora; Ursidae. The record is from Rfam by way of RNAcentral.